This is a long non-coding RNA of Tyto alba (common barn owl), 5817 nucleotides long. RefSeq lists it as uncharacterized. The transcript is spliced from 2 exons. NCBI's taxonomy places the organism in Eukaryota, Metazoa, Chordata, Aves, Strigiformes, Tytonidae. The record is from RefSeq and is a predicted model, not a curated record.
CCUUUCUUCCCUUCGCACUGCCUGCCUCUGUUUUAGCCUGCAUGCUGGCCCUCCACCUCGGGGGCCUUUCCCAGGAGAAAGGUAAAUGCAAGACCUACAGAAAUCCUCCCUCUUAUACCUCAUAGUUUGCAUCAGUGCUUGUCAAAUCUCAUGUACAGAGUUUGUAUGUGAGAUGGCCCUGCUAUUCUCUGCCUGUUUUAAAUAUCCUGAAAAUCUUUCUGUUUCUUGAGUUGCAAAGAAAGCCGCUCAGAACAGUAACAUCAGGCUCUGCCUAAAAACAUAAAGAAAAGGUGGGUAUUGUCUUUUAAUUCUUUGCAGAGAGGUGUAAAUGUUAAAACUUAAUGAAGGCCAUUUGAGUAGUAACAAUAUUACCCACUUGAAAGUAGAAACAUUUUGAUAUUCUAGAAUAAUGUUUUAUUGAAUGUAUUCUCUCUCUCUUUGUGAUUAAUUUGGUGCAUGUUACACUUUUUAUCUUUUCUUACAGCUUUGAAACCUGUCUUACAGAGAUCAGUGUUUAUCUCUGUCUCAAGGGUUUCGACCUAAAUGACUGGUUGAAACAAGGCUUAGUUCCAGAAAGUCUCUACUACCAAGUUUCUGAGCAGAUAAUCUAGAUUCUUACAGCAUUUCAGCUAGGAAUUUCAUGCUGCUGGAAGCUUAAGGUAUCUGUCUGUACUCUUACAAUAUGGUACAUUUUCAGCUUCCUAGAUGAAGUUCAGCCUCACAUGAUUCCUCCUCCUACUUCAGCCACCUGGAGUCUGAUCCUUUAGGGAGUUUACAGUGACCAGUGCAUUACAGUGAAUUAACUGGCAGCUGAACCCUUGCAGGACCAAGGUCUUAAGAAGAAAGUCACGCUGGCCUUAAAGCAGAUUGACUGUUCUAAGCUAGAGUCUUUUCUUCAGUACUCAGUUUCUGCCCACUUACAAAGCUUAGGCUGUGGAAUGCAAGAACCAGAUCCGUUACAGAGUUCAGAGGCGAUCUGUACAGUCAAAUAUUGUUCCGAUUUUUUUUUCUCCUCUCACAUAAUUUCAUAACAAUAUGCUCUUCCUCCACGCCUCUUCUUCUAUUGACAAACGCUAUUGUAUCCCUUGGAGUGAUGAAAGGAAAAGCCACUGAACUGCAUCAUCAACACAUGGCAGUUCCUUUCAUUUUGCAUGAAAUAUAUGACAGCAAAUGGACUAGUAAUGCACCUAAAUAAACCACAUUCAUAGACCAAAGGAAGAAGACAUUGUUAAGCACUAGGUUUAAUACACAGUGGGUAUCCAAUGGAUACAACAGAAAAGUUAAUUCAUUCAGAAUUGUAAGGAAGCAACAGUUGUGCAUUAUUAUUUUUUUGCUUGGUUUUACCAUGUACAAACAUUUGAACCAGGCCUCUCAACAUUGGGCAGGUCAAUGGACAGAGUAAAAGCAGACACUUGCUCAUUAUAACUGAGGUUAUUUUUGUUAAGCAAAACAAGAAAAUACAUAUUUGGUUAGCUUAAAAACUUUUUUUAAAUGAGAAAAAAAUUACAGAGAGAAUGAGUGACAAUUAUAUGAAAUCAAAAUAUAGUCUGCUAAAGCAGAAGUGUUUCAGUUCAGCAGGAAAUCUUUCUCAUUCCUUUUUUUAAGCGCUGUCUUCUUAUCUAGCGCUCAUGUUGUUUUCAUCCAUUCCUGACCACCAUUACCUUCUGUGCUUCAUACACAUGGCUGUCGUGGACACCAGCUGUUUCCCUACUUUUAAUUCUCUUUUUCCAGCGCAAGCUACCCUCUAACACCUGAGCUGUGGCACGCUCCUCCCUAAACAGUCUCAAGAAAACCUUUUUUCUGUGUAGUGCCUGAAUGCAGAGCCCCUAUAGCUCUUGCUCUACUGGUAAUUAAUUGCCUUCUUCAAGUGAUGGGAGGGGAAUACGCUUACAGCUCCAGGACUUUUCUUCCCACUCAUUUUGUGCAGAGACCAGAGUGACUGCAGCAGAAGCCCAACCAAGGUGAUGAGCUGGGUAGGAUUCAGUGCUGAACAGACAAUAAUUUCAGCUGGUAGGUAGGUGCAGGGUAACAGCAGCCAUCAUGCAGAUGGGGCAGAUGAAUUACCUGCAAUGUUACUAAUUGCCACAAAUAUCAGUGCUAAAUUUUCUUGACUUGAUCUAGAUGAGAAAGUUUGGUGUUGCUGGAUGUUAAGCAUCAUACAAGUAGAUGCCAAUCUGUAUACGCAAUUCCUCCCACAGAUCUUGUAAAAUGGAAGCACUUGUGGAAAGUUGCCCACCAAUUUGCUCUCAUCUAUUCCAGAGAAAAUGGCAGACACCUGACACCCUGCACGCUGAGGAUUGCUGUAUCAUUGACUUGGGCCACUGAGUGAUGAGGCAAUCUCCAGCCAGGAAGGAAACUAUGUGCAGUCAAGGUAGAGGGUGCCUUUGUUGGCACAGUCUCUGCAGGGAACUACCGAGUUGUGUUUGAGCUCUGCUUGCCAAGCUUUUGAAUAUUAAAGGAAACAUAGUAGUGAAAACAUGAAUAAGAGUCUGAAUGGGACAACAGCUACUGAGCACAAGGAGCCCCUCUGCCCUGUCUUUACAUGCUAUGAACUUCUCUCCAGCUGGAUUUUCAUUUCACAGAUAGAACCCUGUUCUAGUUUUCUGGGCAGGGUUAGUCAUUGGCUCUGUAAUACUGUGUGGAGUUGAAGUCUCUUGGUUCAUUGCUUUGCUCCAGCAAAGCUGGAAGGCCUAAAAUGCUUCUCUGUAACAAUCAAGGAUUUCAGGGUAUCCAAUUUUCCCUUUUACAUUAGACCUUCAUAAAAAAUCAGCCACUUUGCCCUCCCCUCCUUUGCAGAAUAUUGGUACGAUGACUGCAGACAACUGUCCUGUUCUGACCUGAGCAUUGGCUCUAUGGCAGCAAUUUGUUAACUCUGCCUCAAAAAAGCGCUUACAGGUCAUCAUACGUGCACUAUGACUAGGGUGCAACAACUCCUGUUGUUUCAGUUAGGGAAACCAAGGUACAGCCUAGUUUCAAACUCCUGAUUACAGGAAUUCCUGGAUUACGUUCAGGCAUUGAGAGGAUAUCUUUCUCUCUUUUGUUCCUUACAGGAAGCAAAUGUUAUUUUUCAGCUCACAAAGUUUGUUGGCUUGAAGACACUGAAGCUUGUAGCCAAAGCUCGUGUUACUCUAACAGGGAUGCUCUUUUAAAAUGCUAUUUCGGGAAUUUACCUUGCUGGUGGCCUGACUCAAUCUUAUAUGUAGCUGGCUGUAACAGACCAGUUUUAGUUCUCCUUUCCCCCUGGAAUCAGUGACAGAUUUCAGAAAGCUAAGCUUUUAUGGCAGGCUGGCCUGACUCCAUUAAUCUCCAUGUUGCUGGGAAUUUGAAGUAUUUUUAUCCUGCUUCAGGCUCAGGUACAGCUUAAUGAGGAUAUGUGAGCAGUGAGGAUAGAGGUUACCUUUACAGUGUGAAACAAAGGUUUGAUGCAGCUUGGAUCUUGUUAGGUUGGGAUACCAGCGUCUAGUUUGCAGCAAGUGAGAGUUCCGCAACAGCUGAACUUAGAGGCACUGGUUUGAAAAACCCAAACCUUUGGGGUCUUGUGUGAGAUGGAACCAAGCCAUCGGUUGUUCAUUAACCUUGAUGGAGUUGUGCCAAAAUCUCAGUGUAAAGCCCGAUUCUUUGGCUCUGAUUACAAUGCAAGGCUGAGGUCUGCUCUAGCUGACAUGGGUGUUCCCGAGCUCCAGCUGUGUCCCCAACAUGGGGACAUGGGUUUCUGCUACAUCUCGCAUCUGUGAUGUGUCCCCUUCUGCUCUGCUCCCACCUUGCCAGCACAGUCAGAAUCUGGAGUGCUCCCUGUCACAUAUGCCAAGAUUUUAGCGGUAGGAGCUUUCACUAUAUGGGCAUUAGAAAGGAAGAAAGCCUAAUGGGUGGCACUGCCACGUGAAACAACUUCAAAAGGACAGCAGCACUAAGUGGAGGAUUAAAUGAGCAAAGCCUGACUCCUCUAAUGCACCAAGGCUGAUUGGCAGUAUUUGCAGCCUUCCUUAGUUUUGCAUCUAAAAGGAAGAUUAGCAAAUGUUAUACAGAAAACAGAUCUUGAAAUAAGCUUUUCUGUCUCAAAGCUCAUAGGGACACAAAUUCUUGGGGAACAGGAAUCAGAGAGAGAAAAAUACAUUUCAAUCCAACAACUGCAAAAAAGUAUAAUUCAUCAAGUUUUGCAAACCAUAUGAAAACAAUUCAAAAGUGACACAAAAAUAUAUAUAAGUUUGAAAAAUACUUAAAAGAAAAAAGUACAGAUCUCACAAUAUCAAAACAAAUGACGUAUGGUUAAAAAGGAAAAAAUAAAGACAUUGAAUAACACCAUAUUGGCAGAAAAAGUAAACCUCUCCAGGGCAGCUGUGUUGUCAUUUAAAGUGUCAGUUUGUGUAUCUAGGAUCUGUCUAUAAUGUGCUCAGCAAUGACAGCAUUAACUCUGAGCAUUAGAAGAACCUCAUAGCAGCGAGUCAAAUCUGAGAGCAAUGUAUACAAGGGAAGAGAGCAGCAAGGGUUACUGUGCUCAGAGGCCUGAAAUGUCCCAACUCACACGGCCGUGGUCUUCUCUUACUGCUACCAGACAUAAAAUCUUUUCUAAGUCCCUUCUAAGGGAAGAUUUGUGAAUUGUGAAGGAACUGUGGCAAGCAGAGGGCUCUAAGCAUGGACAGCCCAGUGUGGUGCUGAGCGCCUGGCUGUGAGGCAAACCUUGGCCUUUGGCUUCUUGAGCCUUUACAGGUCUGGAGUCUUACGGGUGAAGACCACCUUAGCGGGACUGUCCUCUCACCCACAUCAUGUAAGUUGGAGUAAUGUUGCUGAUGCGAGCGGGACCGCACUGGUAAGUGCUAGUGGGAGUCAGAGAAGAAUAGGGCUUCUGCUUCCCAGAAGAGGGGGAAGAUGUUGGGGUGGAGCAAGAGGUGCUAUUUCAUGGGAUCGUCCUCCAGAGGGUGCCUGGAGGCUGCCCAGUCUCCAGAGAGGACUCCAGCACCUCCAGUUACAGUAUCUGUGCUGCAGUGAGUUUCCUAUAAAAGGAGAUUACUUUGCCACUGAGCAUGGCUUGCACUGAUGCAGCCUGAAAAAAGAGCAGAAGGGCUCCAGUCCAUUACUGGGACUUGCACAAGUGGUACAAGCCACUCUGGACUGGGGCCUAGGAGAGCUUGUUAUGCAGGGGGGAAAUACGCUCUCUGGCCUUUGUAGCCCUUCCCGUAAAACAGAACACAACUAAAAAGGUGGUGAAGGACUGGAAUAAAGGUGUGUAGCCCUUUGCGAAUAAACCUUUUUCCUUGUUGCACAGGCUCCCUUAGAGAGAAAAGCUCUGUGUUGCCAAGGAUGUGUAACUGGUUUUACUGGUCACCCACCCGAGGCUGGGUGGGCUGGCAAAUCCUACUGUACCGCCAAAGGGGACAAAACAGACCUCUUGACUUCAGUGGGAAUGUUUUACUUCCAAAUGACCCACAUACAGUUAGCAAUGCUUCCAUUAAUGUGAGUCUUCUACAAAAACCCCUUAAGGGAUUGAAUUGACUUAAAAGAUCUUUCUUCUCCAUUUCUUCCAUUUACAGAUAUCACUAAAAAGGUCAGUCCGUUUGGUCUAACUCUCUGGUAUUGUGUCUCCCAACCUCUCUAACCAAAUAAAUAACUCGUCACUGCCUGUAACCCCAUUGAGUAGUCAAUACUGAUUCAGGACUGGUGUUCUUGCAGGCAUUACAGGACCUCAUGCAAUACAGCAAAAGGGAAUUUUCUAAAAAGUGGGAAAUAAAAAUGUCACACUAGCGAUCACACAACUAGGUCUUCAAGCUCAUGAUCAUUUGAGGCUCUCUGUGUGGUCUAAAAUAAAAAGGUUAAAAGAUA